CAUGCAAGUCGAACGGAAAUCUUUUAGAUUUUAGUGGCGAACGGGUGAGUAACACGUAAGCAACCUGCCUUUAAGACGAGAAUAACAAUUGGAAACAGUUGCUAAGGCUGGAUAGGAAAUAAAAAGGCAUCUUUUUAUUUUUAAAAGACCUUUUUCGGAAGGUAUGCUUAAAGAGGGGCUUGCGUCACAUUAGUUAGUUGGUAGGGUAAUGGCCUACCAAGACGAUGAUGUGUAGCUGGACUGAGAGGUUGAACAGCCACAUUGGGACUGAGACACGGCCCAAACUCCUACGGGAGGCAGCAGUAGGGAAUUUUCGGCAAUGGAGGAAACUCUGACCGAGCAACGCCGCGUGAACGACGAAGUACUUCGGUAUGUAAAGUUCUUUUAUUGAAGAAGAAACAAUAGUGGAAAAACUAUCUUGACGUUAUUCAAUGAAUAAGCCCCGGCUAACUAUGUGCCAGCAGCCGCGGUAAUACAUAGGGGGCGAGCGUUAUCCGGAAUUAUUGGGCGUAAAGGGUGCGUAGGCGGUUUAAUAAGUCUCUAGUUUAAUUUCAACGCUUAACGUUGUCCUGCUAGAGAAACUGUUUAACUAGAGUGAGAUAGAGGUAAGCGGAAUUCCAUGUGUAGCGGUAAAAUGUGUAAAUAUAUGGAGGAACACCAGAGGCGUAGGCGGCUUACUGGGUCUUUACUGACGCUGAUGCACGAAAGCGUGGGGAGCAAACAGGAUUAGAUACCCUGGUAGUCCACGCCGUAAACUAUGAGUACUAAGUGUCGGGGUUAAACUCGGUACUGAAGUUAACACAUUAAGUACUCCGCCUGAGUAGUACGUACGCAAGUAUGAAACUUAAAGGAAUUGACGGGAUCCCGCACAAGCGGUGGAUCAUGUUGUUUAAUUCGAAGAUACACGAAAAACCUUACCAGGUCUUGACAUACUCUGCAAAGCUAUAGAAAUAUAGUGGAGGUUAUCAGGGAUACAGGUGGUGCAUGGUUGUCGUCAGCUCGUGUCGUGAGAUGUUAGGUUAAGUUCUAAAACGAGCGCAACCCCUGUCGUUAAUUGCCAGCACGUUAUGGUGGGGACUUUAGCGAGACUGCCAAUGAAAAAUUGGAGGAAGGUGGGGAUUACGUCAAAUCAUCAUGCCCCUUAUGAUCUGGGCUACAAACGUGAUACAAUGGCUAUUACAAGGAGUAGCUGAAACGCGAGUUUUUGGCAAAUCUCAAAAAAAUAGUCUCAGUUCGGAUUGAAGUCUGCAACUCGACUUCAUGAAGUUGGAAUCGCUAGUAAUCGCGAAUCAGCAUGUCGCGGUGAAUACGUUCUCGGGGUUUGUACACACCGCCCGUCAAACCACGAAAGUGGACAAUACCCGAAAGCGACAGCCUAACUGCGUAAGC
Molecule: ribosomal RNA, 1389 nt
Filed under: Lethal yellowing phytoplasma
Lineage: Bacteria; Bacillati; Mycoplasmatota; Mollicutes; Acholeplasmatales; Acholeplasmataceae
Description: bacterial SSU rRNA
Rfam family: Bacterial small subunit ribosomal RNA
Source: RNAcentral